This 407-nucleotide ribosomal RNA is filed under the name uncultured bacterium. RNAcentral's name for it is "partial 16S ribosomal RNA". It matches the Rfam family "Bacterial small subunit ribosomal RNA", at positions 30 to 526 of the family's 1533-position model. The record is from RNAcentral.
AUUGAACGCUGGCGGCAGGCCUAACACAUGCAAGUCGAGCGGAGCGGCGGACGGGUGAGUAAUGCCUAGGAAUCUGCCUGGCCUUUAAGGAUAACGUACGGAAACGGGCGCUAAUACCGCAUAAUAUUCGAUGACCCUAGGUCGUGUUAGCUAGUUGGUGGGGUAAAGGCCUACCAAGGCGACGAUCCGGAGCUGGUCUGAGAGGAUGAUCAGCCACACGGGAACUGAGACACGGUCCAGACGCCUACGGGAGGCAGCAGUGGGGAAUAUUGGACAAUGGGCGAAAGCCUGAUCCAGCCAUGCCGCGUGUGUGAAGAAGGUCUUCGGAUUGUAAAGCACUUUAAGUUGGGAGGCGUUACCUACAGAAUAAGCCCCGGCUAACUUCGUGCCAGCAGCCGCGGUAAUAC